This 253-nucleotide ribosomal RNA is filed under the name uncultured bacterium. Its description in RNAcentral is "partial 16S ribosomal RNA". It matches the Rfam family "Bacterial small subunit ribosomal RNA", at positions 524 to 776 of the family's 1533-position model. The record is from RNAcentral.
UACGAAGGGGGCUAGCGUUGCUCGGAAUUACUGGGCGUAAAGCGCACGUAGGCGGCUUUCUAAGUCGGGGGUGAAAUCCUGGAGCUCAACUCCAGAACUGCCUUCGAUACUGGGAAGCUCGAGUCCGGGAGAGGUAAGUGGAACUGCGAGUGUAGAGGUGAAAUUCGUAGAUAUUCGCAAGAACACCAGUGGCGAAGGCGGCUCACUGGCCCGGUACUGACGCUGAGGUGCGAAAGCGUGGGGAGCAAACAGG